UAGGGAAUCUUCGGCAAUGGGGGCAACCCUGACCGAGCAACGCCGCGUGAGUGAAGAAGGUUUUUCGGAUCGUAAAGCUCUGUUGUAAGUCAAGAACGGGUGUGAAAGUGGAAAGUUCACACUGUGACGGUAGCUUACCAGAAAGGGACGGCUAACUACGUGCCAGCAGCCGCGGUAAUACGUAGGUCCCGAGCGUUGUCCGGAUUUAUUGGGCGUAAAGCGAGCGCAGGCGGUUUGAUAAGUCUGAAGUUAAAGGCUGUGGCUCAACCAUAGUUCGCUUUGGAAACUGUCAAACUUGAGUGCAGAAGGGGAGAGUGGAAUUCCAUGUGUAGCGGUGAAAUGCGUAGAUAUAUGGAGGAACACCGGUGGCGAAAGCGGCUCUCUGGUCUGUAACUGACGCUGAGGCUCGAAAGCGUGGGGAGCGAACAGGAUUAGAUACCCUGGUAGUCCACGCCGUAAACGAUGAGUGCUAGGUGUUGGAUCCUUUCCGGGAUUCAGUGCCGCAGCUAACGCAUUAAGCACUCCG
This 526-nucleotide ribosomal RNA is filed under the name uncultured bacterium. RNAcentral's name for it is "partial 16S ribosomal RNA". It matches the Rfam family "Bacterial small subunit ribosomal RNA", at positions 355 to 871 of the family's 1533-position model. The record is from RNAcentral.